Non-coding RNA from Benincasa hispida (wax gourd), 1371 nucleotides. NCBI's taxonomy places the organism in Eukaryota, Viridiplantae, Streptophyta, Magnoliopsida, Cucurbitales, Cucurbitaceae. The record is from RefSeq and is a predicted model, not a curated record.
AUUUUUUUCCCUUUUUCUUUUCUUUUCUUCUUUUCUUCUUUUCUUCUUCUUCCCCAUUUCUUUCCCCUCGCCAAAACCCUCUCUUCACUCGUAUCUCCCUCGCCGCCACAGAUCCCAGCCUUUCCCCCCUCCCGAUUGACAUAACGUUGUCUAGCCAGCCAUCCGGUCGUCGCCUCGGAUCUCGUCGGCCGAAGCCUUCCCCAGUGCGCCGCCUCAGACCUCGAGCCGAUCAGCCCAGCCGCGCAACCCACGCGUCCGUCCAGCCUCACAUCUUCAUGUCGCUUCGCCGUCAUCCUAGCCGCGUAGCCACACCACACCGCCGCUCUUCCAAAUCCGCCGCUAACUCGAGUGCUGUCGUCCGCCAGUGUAGUCGUCGAUGAGGGUCUGCCUCGUGGGUUUUCCCUUUUUCGAUCUCCCUUUCUCGCAUCUUCCACCAGUCGUGCGCCGCAUGACAGUGAGCUUCAGUCGCCCGCCUUUCUCUCUCUGACCUACGAAUCUAUAGUUUGCCGCCUUCGGUUGUGAGUCGCUGCUACCUAGGUUGUGCGACUUCACUCCAACACUGCCGUCUAGUAGGAUGUCGUUGCUGCUCGUCGGAUCUACUAGUUUGGGUGAGUUUUGUUAGGAAUUUGAGGAUUUGUUGUUCAAGUUUUGAACACCCAACCAACUAUGGGCCUAGUUACUGGAUUAAUUGUGAUUUUGGAUUUUAGAUAUAAAGUUUGGAGGGAUUUUAAAGUCUUUAGGGUGCUACCGACAAGAUUAUGAGUUCUGUCAAUCUUGGGUGGAUUCAAAGUCUUUCGAGAGUUGUAAGAAGGUUAAUUACUUGGAUUAAUUUGUGACCAAAUUUGAGGGAAAGGAUUCCAUACCAGUUGAAGACUAUCUUUGAACUUUAGAACCCCAACGCAAUGGAUCCCUCCAACAGAUCUACCAACACCCGGCAGGAACAUCGACUGCAGUAGCACGAUCAAUGUGAACACGAAUGCCGCAACAAGGACGAAACCACCACUAAUGAGCCCCGGGUAUUAUCGGAGUGAAAACCCAAAGGGUGGACUUUGGUGAAUUUGAUAAAGGACGGAGGACAAACGAGUCGUGUAGGCGAUAAGCAAGUGGGAGAGAAAACAGUGCUAUCGUAUAGCAGAAGUGCUUAUCGCAUAGAGGAGCUACACGAUCGUGUAUGAAAUGUUGAACGAUCAUUUAGAAAAAACGUAUACGAUCGUUUAGGCGGAGAAGCAACUAACGUAUAGGCUCUCAGGCGAUCGUUUCACGAAAUCUUUUGGGUGGAAGAAUGAAUAACGAUUUCACUAUUCAAAAUGAAAACUUUUUUCAUUUUUAACCCAUCGGUUACCAUAACCAACGCUGCCUAUUAACCCACGU